This 128-nucleotide ribosomal RNA is filed under the name Neogale vison (American mink). Lineage: Eukaryota; Metazoa; Chordata; Mammalia; Carnivora; Mustelidae. The record is from RNAcentral.
GUCUACGGCCAUACCACUCUGAACGCGCCCGAUCUCGUCUGAUCUCAGAAGCUAAGCAGGGUAGGGCCUGGUUAGUACUUGGAUGGGAGAAACAGACUUUAGAAUGCUAAUUCCACCCAAUGUGGACU